GACUGGUCCAAAAAUAGUGAGUUAUCUCAAUUAAUUGUUCACUGUCAGUUACAGAAUGAACUUAUCCUACUCUUGCCCCUCUCUCACUACUGCACGAGACUGGCAUUUA
Unclassified non-coding RNA from Otolemur garnettii (small-eared galago), 109 nucleotides. It matches the Rfam family "Y RNA". From Rfam's summary of the family: Y RNAs are components of the Ro ribonucleoprotein particle (Ro RNP), in association with Ro60 and La proteins. The Y RNAs and Ro60 and La proteins are well conserved, but the function of the Ro RNP is not known. In humans the RNA component can be one of four small RNAs -- hY1, hY3, hY4 and hY5. Lineage: Eukaryota; Metazoa; Chordata; Mammalia; Primates; Galagidae. The record is from Ensembl.